Molecule: transfer RNA, 73 nt
Filed under: Gossypium hirsutum (cotton)
Lineage: Eukaryota; Viridiplantae; Streptophyta; Magnoliopsida; Malvales; Malvaceae
Also listed under: 1 other name
Rfam family: tRNA
About the family: Transfer RNA (tRNA) molecules are approximately 80 nucleotides in length. Their secondary structure includes four short double-helical elements and three loops (D, anti-codon, and T loops).
Source: Rfam by way of RNAcentral
GGGGAUGUAGCUUAGAUGGUAGAGUGCUCGCUUAGCAUGUGAGAGGUAUAGGGAUUGAUACCUUGCAUCUCCA